CCUACGGGAGGCUGCAGUGGGGAAUAUUGGACAAUGGGCGAAAGCCUGAUCCAGCCAUGCCGCGUGUGUGGAGAAGGCCUUCGGGUUGUAAAGCACUUUCAGUGGGGAAGAAAGCCUUGGGGCUAAUACCCUCGAGGAAGGACAUCACCCACAGAAGAAGCACCGGCUAACUCCGUGCCAGCAGCCGCGGUAAUACGGAGGGUGCGAGCGUUAAUCGGAAUUACUGGGCGUAAAGCGCGCGUAGGCGGUCUGAUAAGCCGGUUGUGAAAGCCCCGGGCUCAACCUGGGAACGGCAUCCGGAACUGUCAGGCUAGAGUGCAGGAGAGGAAGGUAGAAUUCCCGGUGUAGCGGUGAAAUGCGUAGAGAUCGGGAGGAAUACCAGUGGCGAAGGCGGCCUUCUGGACUGACACUGACGCUGAGGUGCGAAAGCGUGGGUAGCAAACAGGAUUAGAUACCCCUGUAGUC
This 465-nucleotide ribosomal RNA is filed under the name Vreelandella stevensii. Its description in RNAcentral is "partial 16S ribosomal RNA". It matches the Rfam family "Bacterial small subunit ribosomal RNA", at positions 338 to 795 of the family's 1533-position model. The record is from RNAcentral. Lineage: Bacteria; Pseudomonadati; Pseudomonadota; Gammaproteobacteria; Oceanospirillales; Halomonadaceae.